Molecule: ribosomal RNA, 487 nt
Filed under: uncultured bacterium
Lineage: Bacteria
Description: bacterial SSU rRNA
Rfam family: Bacterial small subunit ribosomal RNA
Source: RNAcentral
GAUGAACGCUAGCGGAGGCUUAACACAUGCAAGUCGAGGGGCAGCGAUAGGGUAGCAAUACUCUGAUGGCGACCGGCAAACGGGUGAGUAACGCGUAUGCAACCUACCCUGUACAGGGGGAUAACCCGGAGAAAUUCGGACUAAUAUCCCGUAAUAAUAUCCGGAGGCAUCUUUGGAUAUUUAAAGUUUCGACGGUACGGGAUGGGCAUGCGUAACAUUAGCUGGUUGGUAAGGUAACGGCUUACCAAGGCUAUGAUGUUUAGGGGUCCUGAGAGGGUGGUCCCCCACACUGGUACUGAGACACGGACCAGACUCCUACGGGAGGCAGCAGUGAGGAAUAUUGGUCAAUGGGCGCAAGCCUGAACCAGCCAUCCCGCGUGCAGGAAGACGGCCCUAUGGGUUGUAAACUGCUUUUCCAGGGAGAGAAACUUACGCACGUGUUGCGUGACUGACGGUACCCUGGGAAUAAGCAUCGGCUAACUCCGUG